Molecule: long non-coding RNA, 578 nt
Organism: Vidua macroura (Pin-tailed whydah)
Lineage: Eukaryota; Metazoa; Chordata; Aves; Passeriformes; Viduidae
Exons: 3
Source: RefSeq, a predicted model, not a curated record
UGAGGCUGUGGCCCCUCUGUUAUUGUGGGGUGUUCCUCUGUAUGGGUUGAAGCCUUCUGGAGUUGUGUGAGGAUGCUCUGUGUAUCACAGCUGUCUCUGCUGGCCUGACUCAUCUGGAAUUCUGUGGCUCUGUGACUUCACCAUGUGGAGAAAGAUCUCCUGCAGGCAGGGAUAGCCAUAAACCACUGGAACAAAUUGUUCAGAAAAAAUGAAUUGUCUGUUGACUGUAGACUUCGAAUCUAGGCCAGCUGCCAUUCUGUAAAAAAGAAGAUAUCAAGCUUAAAUCAGGUAGUGCUUGAGGAAUGCUUGAGUUGUGUUAAACAAGCAUUGGACAUGCUGAGCUCACAGGCUCCUUGGAUUUAAUAAUCUAAACCCCAGGAUUAAUUUACUCCCAUCUCAACAUCAACACUGCAGAAUUCCAUGCUGAAGAUGUCUUUCCAGGAUUCCUUUACAACUUGGGAAAUGAAUAAACACCUCCAGGUCAUGAUUCAUCUCACCCUAAUGCAGACAUCUGAAAUUAUGCUUAUUUUUCUCCACUGAGGAGUCUAGACAGGUUGUUUAGCCAUAAAUGGUAGAUU